CCUCAAUGUGGGCAACACAUGCUUCCUUAAUGCUGUCCUGCAAUGCCUGACAUACACCCCGCCGCUGGCCAACUAUCUGCUCUCCCGGGAGCACAGCCAGGCCUGUCGCCAACAAGGCUUCUGCAUGAUGUGCAUCAUGGAAGCGCAUGUUAACAAGGUCCUGCGUUCAGUCAGUGCCAUCCUGCCUUUGGCUGUUCUCAGGGGUUUCAGAUUCAUAGGAGAACAUUUUCAGCUUGGCAGGGAGGAAGAUGCCCAUGACUUCUUAUGCUGUACUGUCAAUGCCAUGCAGAGAGCUU
Molecule: long non-coding RNA, 296 nt
Organism: Pseudopipra pipra
Lineage: Eukaryota; Metazoa; Chordata; Aves; Passeriformes; Pipridae
Exons: 3
Source: RefSeq, a predicted model, not a curated record